Molecule: long non-coding RNA, 2394 nt
Organism: Amphiprion ocellaris (clown anemonefish)
Lineage: Eukaryota; Metazoa; Chordata; Actinopteri; Pomacentridae
Exons: 7
Source: RefSeq, a predicted model, not a curated record
ACGACGGGCUUCAGGCUUUAGAUGCAGCUCAUCCCCUUCAGGAAGAAGACUCUCUCUGUGUCUGGAAUUAAAAGUGUUAGGAAAGACAUCUGACCAUUCAGCGGCUGACUCAGACAUGAUUGUGUGAGGUCUUCUGUUGCUUGCAACUCCUUCGAUUGAUCAUUUCGCCAGGCAACAUCACAGACGUUUAGAACUUGUGUAAGAUUCUGGUCUUGCUUGCGCCUUUUUAAACUGCGGCUGCGUCAGGUCCGGAUAUUUAAAGAGUCUCCAGCAGCGUGAAGCAGCAGCGACUUUUCUCAACAACAGGAUCCACUUCACAACUCCGAGGGACUCACCACUGAAACAGAAACCACUAAACAGACAACAUGAAUAAACGUGAAAAAUGUGUCCUGAAGAUUAAAGAGGGAAAGUACGUGAAAGUCCGGACGUUUAGAGGUGAACUGAAGCUGUGUAUUGAUGAGUCUCAAACUGCAGAAACUGUGAUUAUACAACAACGUUGCCCUGAGGGAGAUGUCGAGAUGGCCUUCGAAUUCCCCCAUUCUGAAAAGCACUGGUCUCCAAAGGUGGAGGAAAACUCCUUGAAGUUGGAGUGCUUUGAUAAGAACUCUAAUUUACCUGACAGUCAUUGGUUCAAGAGGAUAAACGAUGGGGGUGGUGACAUUUACUGUCUGAAAUCUGUGGUUUCACCUGAGCGAUACGUCUGCCUGGAAUCUGUGGUUUCAACCAAAUCAAACCGCAACAAGUCCACUCUGGGGCUCUGUCAGACCCAAAGUCAGUCUGUUCGAGUGACUCAUAGCAGGGUCAAUUAGAGCAGGCAUCCAUCACCAACUGAGCUUCACCUCCUAUUGCAUAACUCAAGAUUUCCCUGCUGGGGUCGAUGGCCUCCUCUACAUUCUUUGGACCAAACAGACUGUCUUUACUUUGGCCUUCUAGUAGGGCAAAGUGCAUUCUUGUUAAGCUGAAUUCAAGUGGAAAUUCUAAACACAAAUGCGACACAAUAACUGCUAAGUGAACUAUGUAAUGCUGAAUUAUGGAGUUACACAUUUAAACUGUUUUCAUUUUUGUGUUCAGGACUUUUUAGGUGGGAAAAAAAAAAGUCAUAGCUUCAUACUGCCCUAAUGUAACUGCUGCACAGUGGAGCCUAGCAUCAACUUUAUGUGACAUUAACUAAUGUUAGUACAUGAAAAACUGAGUAGCUGUUUCUAUGCGUCAGUAUGGCUUAGACUGGGAUUUUAUGUUUAUCCCAGAUAUCUCCAAUGAAAGUUUGUAAAGCUACCUGCUGUAAGAGGCACAUGUUGGCAUGAAUUCUCAGCUAUUUGUCAAUGUGGCUCUUCUCAAAAUCAGUCUACUUUUUAGUCAUCUCUUCAUUCAUAAGAAAUUUAAACUGAGCUGUAACAGGAAUUUAGUUUUGUAUCCACAGAAAAAGCAUUAAUGGAAUGAAGGCCUAGCCAGCUAGCUAGCAGGCUGUAGGAUGUGAUCAUGGGAGAUGAACUGUCACCCAGCACAACCACACAGUUCUCUCUCAAAUUCUGAGAGAUACCAAACAUUUCCUUUGAAUUUUGAAACCUGAUUUCAUAUCCCUGUUUUUACUAAUUCCAAUCUGGCCGUAUGGUUGAUGUGACAAACAUAGAAAACAUGUAUUUGUGCUUUACAAGGACUUUCACUUUACAGAUCAAAAAGAAAGGACAAAGCCGAUGCAGCAAAAGCACAGAUAUAAUGAAUUUUUAAGUCCACAUUGUAAUUUCUAAUGAUUUUUGCAAACAUUUUCUACUUAGAUUUUUUUUAAACCCAUCAGCUCACCACCCCAGUUUCUAGUGCAGCAUACCUGAAUUUUAACGUCUCCCUGCCUAAACUGUACUAACUCAGCUGACUUGUUUUCUCAUUAGUCAUUAGACUUUUCACAGUGCUAUUUUACAUGACCAGUAAACUCAUCUUCUAAAACCAAUUCCUUUUUAAUGUGAAAAAUGUUUCUCAAAUGGUUUUGAUAUGAGGAUAUUUAAGUGGGAAAGGGAGAGGUUUUUAUUUUUUUAUUUUUGUGGCAUGUUCGUGUGAUUACUGUAUGACGGAAGUGGAUGGAGGAUGUUUGGGAACCUUUAACACAACUAUAUUCAUCAUCCAGUCUGAUUCAGACUUUGUGGUGAAUAAAACUGGCUAAACAGUUAAAGUAGUAUCAUACGUUACCAGCACCUAGAAAAAGUGGUAAUAAAUCCAUCCAAAGUCAAGAGUAUUAACGUUUAACAUAACACUGAUUCUCUGAGGUUUCUUCCGUUUUGAAGGUUGCUGCUCACCUUGUCAUGUCUUUUUUUUCUUUUCCCGGUGCUGGGAAUACAUAUAUCUGUAUAUAUACUAACUGUAAACACAAACAUAUUUCAAUAAAGAGUGCUAUUUCCUAAA